AUUGAACGCUGGCGGAGGCCUAACACAUGCAAGUCUAGCGACCGGCGGAUGGGUGCGUAACGCGUAUGCAACUUGCCUCACAGAGGAAAAUAACCCGGAGAAAUCCGGACUAAUGCUCCAUCCUGUGAGAUAGGCAUGCGUCCUAUUAGGUAGGUGGUGAGGUAACGGCUCACCAAGCCGACGAUAGGUAGGGGUGCUGAGAGGCAGAUCCCCCAAAAUGGGACUGAGACACGGCCCAAACUCCUACGGGAGGCAGCAGUGAGGAAUAUUGGUCAAUGGAGGAAACUCUGAACCAGCCAAGUCGCGUGAAGGAAGAAUGUCUAAGGAGUGUAAACUUCUUUAGCGAGCGAGUAAGUAGCUCGAGAAUAAGUAUCGGCUAACUCCGUGCCAGCAGCCGCGGUAAUUC
This 406-nucleotide ribosomal RNA is filed under the name uncultured bacterium. RNAcentral's name for it is "partial 16S ribosomal RNA". It matches the Rfam family "Bacterial small subunit ribosomal RNA", at positions 30 to 526 of the family's 1533-position model. The record is from RNAcentral.